RNAcentral lists this ribosomal RNA (432 nucleotides) under uncultured bacterium. RNAcentral describes it as "partial 16S ribosomal RNA". It matches the Rfam family "Bacterial small subunit ribosomal RNA", at positions 29 to 506 of the family's 1533-position model. The record is from RNAcentral.
AGCGAACGCUGGCGGCAGGCUUAACACAUGCAAGUCGAACGCAUCCUUCGGGGUGAGUGGCAGACGGGUGAGUAACACGUGGGAACGUACCCUUCGAUCUGGGAUAACUUCGGGAAACUGGAGCUAAUACCGGAUACGCCCUUUUGGGGAAAGGUUUACUGUCGAAGGAUCGGCCCGCGUCUGAUUAGCUAGUUGGUGGGGUAACGGCCUACCAAGGCGACGAUCAGUAGCUGGUCUGAGAGGAUGAUCAGCCACACUGGGACUGAGACACGGCCCAGACUCCUACGGGAGGCAGCAGUGGGGAAUAUUGGACAAUGGGCGCAAGCCUGAUCCAGCCAUGCCGCGUGAGUGAUGAAGGCCUUAGGGUUGUAAAGCUCUUUUGUCCGGGACGAUAAUGACGGUACCGGAAGAAUAAGCCCCGGCUAACUUCGU